This 523-nucleotide ribosomal RNA is filed under the name uncultured bacterium. Its description in RNAcentral is "bacterial SSU rRNA". It matches the Rfam family "Bacterial small subunit ribosomal RNA", at positions 324 to 863 of the family's 1533-position model. The record is from RNAcentral.
AUACGGUCCAGACUCCUACGGGAGGCAGCAGUGGGGAAUAUUGGGCAAUGGGGGAAACCCUGACCCAGCGACGCCGCGUGAGGGAAGAAGGCCUUAGGGUCGUAAACCUCUGUUGUGUGGGAAGAAGAGCGUGACGGUACCACACGAGGAAGUCCCGGCUAACUACGUGCCAGCAGCCGCGGUAAUACGUAGGGGACGAGCGUUGUCCGGAUUUACUGGGCGUAAAGGGCGCGUAGGCGGUCAUUUAAGUCAGCUGUGAAAUGGUUUGGCUUAACCGGAUCAUGCGGUUGAAACUGGAUGACUGGAGUGCUGGAGAGGCAAGUGGAAUUCCCAGUGUAGCGGUGAAAUGCGUAGAUAGUGGGAAGAACACCGGUGGCGAAGGCGACUUGCUGGCCAGCAACUGACGCUGAGGCGCGAAAGCCAGGGGAGCAAACGGGAUUAGAUACCCCGGUAGUCCUGGCCGUAAACGUUGAAUGCUAGGUGUGGGCAUCGAGAGGUGUCCGUGCCGUAGCUAACGCGAUAA